RNAcentral lists this ribosomal RNA (115 nucleotides) under Vibrio aestuarianus. Lineage: Bacteria; Pseudomonadati; Pseudomonadota; Gammaproteobacteria; Vibrionales; Vibrionaceae. The record is from RNAcentral.
UGGCGACCAUAGCGUUGCGGACCCACCUGAUUCCAUGCCGAACUCAGAAGUGAAACGCAAUAGCGCCGAUGGUAGUGUGGGGCUUCCCCAUGUGAGAGUAGGACAUCGCCAGGCU